GAUUGCCCUAGUAACGGCGAGUGAAGCGGCAACAGCUCAAAUUUGAAAUCUGGCCCUCGGGUCCGAGUUGUAAUUUGUAGAGGAUGCUUUUGGUGCGGUACCUUCCGAGUUCCCUGGAACGGGACGCCAUAGAGGGUGAGAGCCCCGUCUGGUUGGAUGCCAAUCCUCUGUAAAGCUCCUUCGACGAGUCGAGUAGUUUGGGAAUGCUGCUCUAAAUGGGAGGUAUAUGUCUUCUAAAGCUAAAUAUUGGCCAGAGACCGAUAGCGCACAAGUAGAGUGAUCGAAAGAUGAAAAGCACUUUGAAAAGAGAGUUAAAAAGCACGUGAAAUUGUUGAAAGGGAAGCGCUUAUGACCAGACUUGGGCUUGGUUGAUCAUCCGGCGUUCUCGCCGGUGCACUCUUCCGGCUCAGGCCAGCAUCAGUUUGCUUCGGGGGAUAAAGGCUUUGGGAAUGUGGCUCCCUCGGGAGUGUUAUAGCCCACUGUGUAAUACCCUGGAGCGGACUGAGGUACGCGUUCUGCAAGGAUGCUGGCGUAAUGGUCAUCAGUGACCCGUCUUGAAACACGGACCAAGGAGUCGUCUUCGUAUGCGAGUGUUCGGGUGUCAAACCCCUACGCGUAAUGAAAGUGAACGCAGGUGAGAGCUUCGGCGCAUCAUCGACCGAUCCUGAUGUUCUCGGAUGGAUUUGAGUAAGAGCAUACGGGGCCGGACCCGAAAGAAGGUGAACUAUGCCUGUGUAGGGUGAAGCCAGAGGAAACUCUGGUGGAGGCUCGCAGCGGUUCUGACGUGCAAAUCGAUCGUCAAACAUGGGCAUGGGGGCGAAAGAC
This 825-nucleotide ribosomal RNA is filed under the name Scolecofusariella peltigerae. RNAcentral's name for it is "Scolecofusarium ciliatum partial 28S ribosomal RNA". It matches the Rfam family "Eukaryotic large subunit ribosomal RNA", at positions 73 to 931 of the family's 3401-position model. The record is from RNAcentral. Lineage: Eukaryota; Fungi; Ascomycota; Sordariomycetes; Hypocreales; Nectriaceae.